Molecule: ribosomal RNA, 372 nt
Filed under: uncultured organism
Description: partial 16S ribosomal RNA
Rfam family: Bacterial small subunit ribosomal RNA
Source: RNAcentral
GUAGGUGGCAAGCGUUGUCCGGAAUUAUUGGGCGUAAAGCGCGCGCAGGCGGUUCUUUAAGUCUGAUGUGAAAGCCCACGGGCUCAACCGUGGAGGGUCAUUGGAAACUGGAGAACUUGAGUACAGAAGAGGAAAGCGGAAUUCCACGCGUAGCGGUGGAAUGCGUAGAGAUGUGGAGGAACACCAGUGGCGAAGGCGGCUUUCUGGUCUGUAACUGACGCUGAGGCGCGAAAGCGUGGGGAGCAAACAGGAUUAGAUACCCUGGUAGUCCACGCCGUAAACGAUGAGUGCUAAGUGUUAGGGGGUUUCCGCCCCUUAGUGCUGCAGCUAACGCAUUAAGCACUCCGCCUGGGGAGUACGGCCGCAAGGCUG